GGCGUUGUAGCUCAGUGGUUGAGCACUAGCCUAGCACGUAAGAGGCACUAGGUUCAAUCCUCAGCACCA
RNAcentral lists this transfer RNA (69 nucleotides) under Ictidomys tridecemlineatus (thirteen-lined ground squirrel). RNAcentral describes it as "Spermophilus tridecemlineatus (thirteen-lined ground squirrel) tRNA". It matches the Rfam family "tRNA". Rfam says of the family: Transfer RNA (tRNA) molecules are approximately 80 nucleotides in length. Their secondary structure includes four short double-helical elements and three loops (D, anti-codon, and T loops). Further hydrogen bonds mediate the characteristic L-shaped molecular structure. tRNAs have two regions of fundamental functional importance: the anti-codon, which is responsible for specific mRNA codon recognition, and the 3' end, to which the tRNAs corresponding amino acid is attached (by aminoacyl-tRNA synthetases). tRNAs cope with the degeneracy of the genetic code in two manners: having more than one tRNA (with a specific anti-codon) for a particular amino acid; and 'wobble' base-pairing, i.e. permitting non-standard base-pairing at the 3rd anti-codon position. The record is from Rfam by way of RNAcentral. Lineage: Eukaryota; Metazoa; Chordata; Mammalia; Rodentia; Sciuridae.